GACGAACGCUGGCGGCGUGCUUAACACAUGCAAGUCGAACGGUGAAGCGCCUUCCUUUUUGGUGGGUGUGGAUGAGUGGCGAACGGGUGAGUAACACGUGAGUAACCUGCCCCCUUCUUCUGGAUAACCGCAUGAAAGUGUGGCUAAUACGGGAUAUUCUGGGUCUGUCGCAUGAUGGGUCUGGGAAAGAUAUUGUUUCGGUGGGGGAUGGGCUCGCGGCCUAUCAGCUUGUUGGUGGGGUGAUGGCCUACCAAGGCGGUGACGGGUAGCCGGCCUGAGAGGGUGGACGGUCACACGGGGACUGAGACACGGCCCAGACUCCUACGGGAGGCAGCAGCGGGGAAUAUUGCACAAUGGGCGCAAGCCUGAUGCAGCGACGCCGCGUGAGGGAUGGAGGCCUUCGGGUUGUGAACCUCUUUCGCCAGUGAAGCAGGCCUGCCUCGUUUGUGGGUGGGUUGACGGUAGCUGGAUAAGAAGCGCCGGCUAACUACGUG
Molecule: ribosomal RNA, 494 nt
Filed under: uncultured bacterium
Lineage: Bacteria
Description: partial 16S ribosomal RNA
Rfam family: Bacterial small subunit ribosomal RNA
Source: RNAcentral